Molecule: ribosomal RNA, 432 nt
Filed under: uncultured bacterium
Lineage: Bacteria
Description: bacterial SSU rRNA
Rfam family: Bacterial small subunit ribosomal RNA
Source: RNAcentral
AGUCGAACGAAGCACUUUUAUCGAUUUCUUCGGAAUGAAGUUUUAGUGACUGAGUGGCGGACGGGUGAGUAACGCGUGGGUAACCUGCCUUACACAGGGGGAUAACAGUUGGAAACGGCUGCUAAUACCGCAUAAGCGCACAGUACCGCAUGGUACAGUGUGAAAAACUCCGGUGGUGUGAGAUGGACCCGCGUCUGAUUAGCUAGUUGGCAGGGCAACGGCCUACCAAGGCGACGAUCAGUAGCCGACCUGAGAGGGUGACCGGCCACAUUGGGACUGAGACACGGCCCAAACCCCUACGGGAGGCAGCAGUGGGGAAUAUUGCACAAUGGGGGAAACCCUGAUGCAGCGACGCCGCGUGAGCGAAGAAGUAUUUCGGUAUGUAAAGCUCUAUCAGCAGGGAAGAAGAAAUUACGGUACCUGACUAAGAAG